Molecule: RNA transcript, 1804 nt
Organism: Phalaenopsis equestris
Lineage: Eukaryota; Viridiplantae; Streptophyta; Magnoliopsida; Asparagales; Orchidaceae
Exons: 16
Source: RefSeq, a predicted model, not a curated record
CCAUCUACCUCCCAUCCGCUCCCGCUCUGUCUUGUCCUCGCAUUCGACUGGCGUAGGGCGGCAGAGAAAAUCAGGUUAAGUUCGGAAUCGAGAGGAGAAAAAGUUGCGAUUCAAUGGGGGUUCUGAAGUUUUUGGUGAUUUCGGUUCUUUUCGCGAUGAUGAUAGCUGGGAUCAGAUCGGAGGAUGAGGCGACGGUUAAUCAUGUGGAUGAUGCUGUAGGAGCCGAGGAGUCGGAUUCAGUUCUUAAGAUUGAGAUCGAGCAGCUCAGGUCGAAGAUCACUUCUCUAGAGUCUUCAACUUUGGAGAAAGCGAAGGAGUUGAAAAACAAGGAUGAGAAGAUUGAACAGUUGGAGAGGGAAAUUGAGGAGAAGUCGUCUAUUGUCGCGUCGCUGCAGAGUGAGGUAGAACUAUUACAGAAAAAGGGGGCUGUGGAUGCAGAGGAAUUAGUGGGAAAAGCCCGUGCACAUUCCAAUGAACUUGAGAAGAAGAUUGAGAAGCUUAAAAAUGAACUAUUGGAGCAAGUUAAUAAAAAAGAUGCCUUGGAAAGGCGAACUAUGGAAGCAGAAGAGAAGGUGCAGGAACUGCAUGUGAAAUUGGAAAAUCUUGAGAAGAUAAAUGUUGAGCAGAAGCUUAAAAUUCAGAAAACAGAACGAGCUAUUAAAGUAGUUGAGGAAGAGCUGAUGAAGGCGCAAUUGGAGCAAAUUUCCAAGUCAAAAGACUUAAAAGAGGUUCAUGGAGCUUGGCUGCCACCUUGGCUUUCAAAUCAUAUAGUUCGUUGUCAGGAAAUUGUAGCAGUACACUGGAGUGAGCAUGGGGAAUCUACUUUUAAUGUUUUAGUUCAAAAGAUUUCAAAGAAAUCAGACCAGGCACAGAAGUGGGUUAAGCCACAUUUGGAAACUGCAAAAACAAAGUGGAUCCCUAUUGUGAAGACAAAAUUGGUAGCAUUUUCAAACAAUGUUAAACCUCACAUUGAAAAGUUAUCUACCAAAACAGUUGAAGUAAUUGAAGUAUGCCGAAGUACUGCCACGCCACAUGUUGUGAAGCUCCAAGAGUUGUCUGAUCCUUAUAUUCAGGACUUGAGGAAAUUUUCCAAGCCCUAUAUUGAGCAAGUUGCUACUUUUACCAAGCCUCAUGUUGAGAAAGCGCGCACUAUUUUGAAACCAUACACAAGAAGGGUUCUUUAUGGCUACGGAAAGUUUCUGGAAACUGCUGGAACUUAUCAUCAUCAGAUUCAAGAAACUGUUCAGCAGAAUCUCCAGAAGCAUGAAUUGACCAAGCAUCUGGCAACUAAAGAGUUGAUCUGGUUUGUGGCCUCGGGAUCAUUGGCGCUACCAAUAUUUCUGCUUUACAGGAUGGUAUCAUCCACUUUUGGCAAAAAAGCUACAAAAUCUGUUCGGGGUGGUCGUUCGCAUAACCAUCGUAGGCACAAGCGCAGGCAUGCAGAUCAAUAGAGAAAUAGUGUACUUGGAUAUCUGUAAUGGGUGUAUCUAUGAGCUGAGGAGAAAAUGAGAAGAUGCAAAGACUUGUAGCAACCAAGAUUUUGAUGACUGUAAAAGGAGGAAAGACGAUACCAUAUUCUUCAGACCGCAGGUUCUGGUGGGGUGAGUCUGAAGCAUCUUUUUUUUUUCUUUUAAUGGGUCCGUAUAUUUUUCUCCGAAAGGACUUACGAUUAAAUCAUAUAUUUUUGUUCUAAUUUAAUAUAAGAAGCCAUAUUAUUGUUGUAGCAAACAAUGUAAAAAGAUGAGGUGUGGCUUUCAUGGGUUAUUGAAUUGUUAUUUAUAGCAUCUACUUAAUUUUUCAUGCA